RNAcentral lists this unclassified non-coding RNA (225 nucleotides) under rhizosphere metagenome. RNAcentral's name for it is "partial ribosomal RNA internal transcribed spacer region". The record is from RNAcentral.
GUAGGUGAACCUGCGGAAGGAUCAUUACAGAGUUGGGGUCUUUCAGGCCCAACCUCCAACCCUAUGCAUACCUACCUUUGUUGCUUCGGCGGGCCCGUUAGAGGCAACUCACCGGUGGUUCCAGGCUGCCGAGCGCCCGUCAGAGACCCAUCAAACCCUGUGAACUGUGACGUCUGAGUAUCGAUACAAUCGUUAAAACUUUCAACAACGGAUCUCUUGGUUCUG